This is a long non-coding RNA of Oncorhynchus nerka (sockeye salmon), 2659 nucleotides long. RefSeq lists it as uncharacterized. NCBI's taxonomy places the organism in Eukaryota, Metazoa, Chordata, Actinopteri, Salmoniformes, Salmonidae. The transcript is spliced from 3 exons. The record is from RefSeq and is a predicted model, not a curated record.
GGGUCAAACUGUAGAACUCAGUUCCUACAUUUGAAUAUGAAAAUUGAUUUUAUCAAACAAAACUACGCUACAUGUUAUCUCUGGGACCCUCAGUAAUCCAAAUCAGAGCAAGAUAACUGAAUGUAAGUACAUUAUUUACCUUCAGAGGUGAAUGUACCAAACCAGUUGCCAUGACAAAAGCAUGUUGUUGUUGUGCACUAUCCUCAAACAAUAGCAUGGUAUUUUUUCGCUGUAAUAGCUACUGUAAAAUGGAAACUGCAGUUAGAUUAACAAUAACAAUAAGUAUCAUUUAAAAGUAUGCAUUAAGGUGUCUGUAAUAGAAUAGACAUGGCCAAAACUAAAGUAGACAUUUAUAAAUGCAUUUCUAUAGCUUCCAAAAAUAUUUUUUUACCACGAUGUUGGAGUGCCAAGAUGGAGGCACUGUGUCUUCAAAACAGCGCCCCCUGUCAUCUAGUGUUUAUAUAUAAAUCAUUAGUUUAUAGUUAUGAAAUAUUAUGCAAAUAAAGGGGCAGGUAGGUGGCAGUCGGGUUGAAUAAAGAGAAAAGAAUACAUAAACAAAUCUAUAAAUCUAUCAUUGUUGCGCAAUUUAUAUCUAGGUCUAUAGACUACAUUGAGGUUUUUAUUUCAUGUUUUUGGCAUUAGUUACAAAAGCCUAAACUUUAAGGCCUAACUUUACGCGCGCCAAAAAUCCUACACGCCAGAUGUUUUUUGGGAACACACAUCGAACCAAAAAGGACAAAUACCCGGAGUUAAAAAAUUUUAAAAGAAAAGCUGCAUAAUAGAGAGUUGAAAAUACAGAGAAGGGAGGGCCAGAAAAGUCAUGUUUGGGAAAGAUUUGUUCAGAUCGGUUUAAUAGAAAGUGAAAUCUGGACACUAACUGUAGGUUUAUAACUUCUCACAUAGUCUUAAUAUUAACUCCUGCUGAAUUAAGCAGUUCUUCAGUAAAAUGAUACACCAAAUGUAUAUUUUGACUCGGGAACAGGAAGUAGAGAAAUAUGAUUGAUUCAUUUCAGAAUCUUGAGAGAAUGUGAAUGCACAGUCUGUAGAGCAGUGAUCUAUCAGUGUCAUUUAAGCUGAUAGUAUUUCAACUACAAAAGCUGAAAUAAAUCAUAAAUAUGAAAUCUUAUAGGAGAUGUUGUACCCACUGUGACUAUUAAAAUCUACUCUAACCAGAAACCUGGACAGAUGUUAGCAUUCGCGCAAAACUGAAAGUACGAACCACCGCAAGGUAACUGGGAAUAUGGCAGAAUACAAACAGUGUAGUUAUUCCCUCAGAAAAGCAAUCAAACAGGCAAAACAUCAGUAUAGAGACAAAGUGGAGUUGCACUUCAACGGCUCAGACAAUCACGGACUACAAAAGGAAAACCAGCCACGUCGCGGACACCAACGUCUUGCUUUCGGACAAUCUAAACACCUUCUUCGCCCACUUUGAGGAUAACACAGUGCCACCAACGCGGCCCGCUACCAAGGACUGUGGUCUCUCCUUCCCCCGUGGCCAAUGUGAGUAAGACAUUUAAGCGUGUUAACCCUCGCAAGGCUGCCGGCCCAGACGGCAUCCCUAGCCGCUUCCUCAGAGCAUGUUUACUGACAUUUUCAAUCUCUCCCUAUCCCAGUCUGCUGUAUCCACAUGCUUCAAGAAUGGGCCCCAUUGUUCCUGUACCCAAGAAAUCAAAGAUGUUCAGUUAUGGAGUAAAGUCCUUCUCUUCACCAUCAUCCAGAUCUCCAUCUCCUCAACGCUCUCUUACAUCCUGUACAUGGAGAGGAGGCGUUACGGACCAUACUCAGUAAGCCAGACGGGAAAAUACAUUUAAAGGUCUCUCAAUCAAGGUGUUCCCUCGACUCCCAUACUGGUCACUGCUCCCGACUUCAACUGACCAAUAACAGCUGCUUAAGGACUUUAACUGACCAAUCCCAUCUGCAGACAGAUGUCCACCAAUUCCCCUGUUAUGAUAUUAAUGAUUUGUCCACCACAGAUGGUUUGUUUAAGUUUCUACCAUUGUGGCUUUAUGUUAUUGUUUUUGAAUGUGUAGCAUGAAGCUGUGGAAUUGAUAUGGAUGUGAUUCCAUAAUAUUUAAAAACAUAAAUAAAUGUAACCUUUAUUAAUUUUAUAAUGUAAAAUUCUUAUUUACAAUGACGGCCGACCUUAUUAUUUAGUGUUUUACUACAAUGCAGUGCUAAAUAAUGGUUUAAAUUUUCCCCAAAUUACUCAUUUGUUUUGUAUAUUUUUACCGAAAUAAAAUAAUUCAUAUAAAAAUACUGUUCUUCAAAAUGCAUCUAUGAAAUUACCUCCAUCUCGCUCAUCUUCUCUCUGGAUAGUCAGGACAAAGUGUUGUCUCUCUCUAGAACACAAGUGAGACCUGUCCGAGCCAGAACGGCCCGUAAGGGCAGGAGCCUAUCUCCUGUUUCUGAAGCGUGAGACGGCUUGAUGUGCAAGUACACCCCAUGGGCAGGAAUGAUAGAACAACAUGAAAGUUUAGAGAGCAAUGUCAUCAAAUGUCAUCUUAAGACUCCCCAGGAAGUGUUUCUGUAACCCGGUUAUGUAUCUGCUCUGGGAACCAGAUGGAACCUCCUGUGGAAUGGAUGGAACUGAAUGAAACCAUAUGGAACAGUUGACUUCAGUUAAUUUGCAAAUAAAUUCAUUAAAAAUCCUACAAUGUGA